This 327-nucleotide ribosomal RNA is filed under the name uncultured eukaryote. Its description in RNAcentral is "partial 18S ribosomal RNA". It matches the Rfam family "Eukaryotic small subunit ribosomal RNA", at positions 1470 to 1796 of the family's 1831-position model. The record is from RNAcentral.
CCCUUAGAUGUCCUGGGCCGCACGCGCGCUACACUGACGGAGCCAGCGAGCUUACCCCUUUGCCGAAAGGCAUGGGAAAUCUUUUGAAUCUCCGUCGUGCUGGGGAUAGAUCAUUGCAAUUAUUGAUCUUGAACGAGGAAUUCCUAGUAAACGCAGAUCAUCAAUCUGCAUUGAUUACGUCCCUGCCCUUUGUACACACCGCCCGUCGCACCUACCGAUUGGAUGGUCCGGUGAAGCCUCGGGAUUGUGGUUCUUGCCGCUUUAUUGUGGCGUGACCGCGAGAACUUGUCUAAACCUUAUCAUCUAGAGGAAGGUGAAGUCGUAACA